RNAcentral lists this ribosomal RNA (1440 nucleotides) under Gilliamella apicola. Its description in RNAcentral is "bacterial LSU rRNA". It matches the Rfam family "Bacterial large subunit ribosomal RNA", at positions 1515 to 2925 of the family's 2925-position model. RNAcentral also lists the same sequence under 1 other name. The record is from RNAcentral. Lineage: Bacteria; Pseudomonadati; Pseudomonadota; Gammaproteobacteria; Orbales; Orbaceae.
AGCGUGUAGGGGUGUGAUUAGGCAAAUCCGGUCACUGAAACUCUGAGGCGUGAUGACGAGCUGCUAAGGCAGUGAAGUAAUUGAUGCCCUGCUUCCAGGAAAACCCUCUAAGCUUCAGGUUAUAGUUAAUCGUACCCGAAACCGACACAGGUGGUCAGGUAGAGAAUACUAAGGCGCUUGAGAGAACUCGGGUGAAGGAACUAGGCAAAAUGGUGCCGUAACUUCGGGAGAAGGCACGCUGAUGUGUAAUUGAAAUCCCAUGCGGACGUAGGUGAAAUCAGUCGAAGAUACCAGCUGGCUGCAACUGUUUAAUAAAAACACAGCACUGUGCAAACACGAAAGUGGACGUAUACGGUGUGACGCCUGCCCGGUGCUGGAAGGUUAAUUGAUGGGGUUAUGCUUAUGCAGAAGCUCCUGAUCGAAGCCCCAGUAAACGGCGGCCGUAACUAUAACGGUCCUAAGGUAGCGAAAUUCCUUGUCGGGUAAGUUCCGACCUGCACGAAUGGCGUAAUGAUGGCCAGGCUGUCUCCACCCGAGACUCAGUGAAAUUGAAAUUGCCGUGAAGAUGCGGUGUACCCGUGGCAAGACGGAAAGACCCCGUGAACCUUUACUAUAGCUUGACAGUGAACAUUGAGCCUUAAUGUGUAGGAUAGGUGGGAGGCAAAGAAGCAUGCACGCCAGUGUGAGUGGAGUCGACCUUGAAAUACCACCCUUUAAUGUUUGAUGUUCUAACCUAUACUUCUGAAUCGAGGUAAGGGACACUGUCUGGUGGGUAGUUUGACUGGGGCGGUCUCCUCCCAAAGAGUAACGGAGGAGCACGAAGGUUAGCUAAUCCUGGUCGGACAUCAGGAGGUUAGUGCAAUGGCAAAAGCUAGCUUGACUGCGAGAGUGACGGCUCGAGCAGGUACGAAAGUAGGUCAUAGUGAUCCGGUGGUUCUGAAUGGAAGGGCCAUCGCUCAACGGAUAAAAGGUACUCCGGGGAUAACAGGCUGAUACCGCCCAAGAGUUCAUAUCGACGGCGGUGUUUGGCACCUCGAUGUCGGCUCAUCACAUCCUGGGGCUGAAGUAGGUCCCAAGGGUACGGCUGUUCGCCGUUUAAAGUGGUACGCGAGCUGGGUUUAGAACGUCGUGAGACAGUUCGGUCCCUAUCUGCCAUGGGCGUAGGAAAAUUGAGAGGGUUUGCUUCUAGUACGAGAGGACCGAAGUGAACGCACCGCUGGUGUUCGGGUUGUGAUGCCAAUUGCAUUGCCCGGUAGCUACGUGCGGAAUAGAUAAGUGCUGAAAGCAUCUAAGCACGAAACUAGCCUCGAGAUGAGUUUUCCCUGAAGAGAUUCAGUAAGGUCCGUUUGAGACUAAGACGUAGAUAGGUCAGGUGUGUAAGUGUAGUGAUACAUUGAGCUAACUGAUACUAAUGAACCGAGAGUCUUAACCUUACAACUC